GAGUUUGAUCGUGGCUCAGGAUUAACGCUAGCGGCAGGCAUAAUACAUGCAAGUUGAACGAGAUAAGCUGUAGCAAUAUGGCUUUGAAAGUGGCGCACGGGUGCGUAACACGUAUGCAACCUACCUUUACAGGGGAGUAGCCUCUCGAAAGAGAGAUUAAUACCCCAUAAUAUAUUUGUUGGGCAUCUAAUGAAUAUUAAAGCUGAGGCGGUAAAAGAUGGGCAUGCGGCUGAUUAGCUAGUUGGUGGGGUAAAGGCCACCAAGGCGACGAUCAGUAGCUGGUCUGAGAGGACGAUCAGCCACACUGGGACUGAGACACGGCCCAGACUCCUACGGGAGGCAGCAGUGGGGAAUUUUGGACAAUGGGGGC
Molecule: ribosomal RNA, 370 nt
Filed under: uncultured beta proteobacterium
Lineage: Bacteria; Pseudomonadati; Pseudomonadota; Betaproteobacteria
Description: bacterial SSU rRNA
Rfam family: Bacterial small subunit ribosomal RNA
Source: RNAcentral